Molecule: non-coding RNA, 76 nt
Organism: Podarcis lilfordi (Lilford's wall lizard)
Lineage: Eukaryota; Metazoa; Chordata; Lepidosauria; Squamata; Lacertidae
Source: the annotation of a GenBank genome assembly
GAAGCAUCAUGGCUCAGUGGUUAAGAACAUCUGCUUUGCAUGCAGAUGGUCCCAGAAUCAAUUCCCAGCAGCAUCU